AAGGAGUCUAACAUCUAUGCGAGUAUUUGGGUGGCAAACCCAGAUGCGUAAUGAAAGUGAUAAGGUGGGAACGUAAGUGCACCAUCGACCGGUCUGGAUUUUUUUGAUAGAUCUGAGUAAGAGCAUAACUGUUGGGACCCGAAAGAUGGUGAACUAUGCCUGAAUAGGGUGAAGCCAGAGGAAACUCUGGUGGAGGCUCGUAGCGAUUCUGACGCGCAAAUCGAUCGUCAAAUUUGGGUAUAGGGGCGAAAGACUAAUCGAACCAUCUAGUAGCUGGUUCCCUC
Molecule: unclassified non-coding RNA, 284 nt
Filed under: uncultured fungus
Lineage: Eukaryota; Fungi
Description: partial contains 5.8S rRNA, ITS2 and 28S rRNA
Rfam family: Eukaryotic large subunit ribosomal RNA
Source: RNAcentral